RNAcentral lists this ribosomal RNA (463 nucleotides) under uncultured bacterium. Its description in RNAcentral is "partial 16S ribosomal RNA". It matches the Rfam family "Bacterial small subunit ribosomal RNA", at positions 28 to 507 of the family's 1533-position model. The record is from RNAcentral.
GACGAACGCUGGCGGCGUGCUUAACACAUGCAAGUCGAACGGUGAACCUCUUCGGAGGGGAUCAGUGGCGAACGGGUGAGUAACACGUGGGCAACCUGCCCCCGGCUCUGGGAUAACUCCAAGAAAUUGGGGCUAAUACCGGAUGUUCACCGCUUCCCGCAUGGGUGGUGGUGGAAAGGGUUUCCGGCUGGGGGUGGGCCCGCGGCCUAUCAGCUUGUUGGUGGGGUAGUGGCCUACCAAGGCGACGACGGGUAGCCGGCCUGAGAGGGUGACCGGCCACACUGGGACUGAGAAACGGCCCAGACUCCUACGGGAGGCAGCAGUGGGGAAUAUUGCGCAAUGGGCGGAAGCCUGACGCAGCGACGCCGCGUGGGGGAUGACGGCCUUCGGGUUGUAAACCUCUUUCAGCAGGGACGAAGCGCAAGUGACGGUACCUGCAGAAGAAGCACCGGCCAACUACGUG